UACGUAGGUGGCAAGCGUUGUCCGGAAUUAUUGGGCGUAAAGCGCGCGCAGGCGGUCCUUUAAGUCUGAUGUGAAAGCCCACGGCUCAACCGUGGAGGGUCAUUGGAAACUGGGGGACUUGAGUGCAGAAGAGGAAAGCGGAAUUCCACGUGUAGCGGUGAAAUGCGUAGAGAUGUGGAGGAACACCGGUGGCGAAGGCGGCAUCCUGGACCGGCAUUGACGCUGAGGAGCGAAAGCCAGGGGAGUAAACGGG
Molecule: ribosomal RNA, 253 nt
Filed under: uncultured bacterium
Lineage: Bacteria
Description: partial 16S ribosomal RNA
Rfam family: Bacterial small subunit ribosomal RNA
Source: RNAcentral